UACGGAGGGUGCGAGCGUUAAUCGGAUUUAUUGGGCGUAAAGCGAGCGCAGGUGGUUUAAUAAGUCUGAUGUAAAAGGCAGUGGCUCAACCAUUGUGUGCAUUGGAAACUGUUAGACUUGAGUGCAGUAGAGGAGAGUGGAAUUCCAUGUGUAGCGGUGAAAUGCGUAGAUAUAUGGAGGAACACCGGUGGCGAAAGCGGCUCUCUGGACUGUAACUGACACUGAGGCUCGAAAGCGUGGGUAGCAAACAGG
RNAcentral lists this ribosomal RNA (252 nucleotides) under uncultured microorganism. Its description in RNAcentral is "partial 16S ribosomal RNA". It matches the Rfam family "Bacterial small subunit ribosomal RNA", at positions 524 to 776 of the family's 1533-position model. The record is from RNAcentral.